RNAcentral lists this small nuclear RNA (191 nucleotides) under Dasypus novemcinctus (nine-banded armadillo). RNAcentral describes it as "U2 spliceosomal RNA (ENSDNOG00000044683.1)". It matches the Rfam family "U2 spliceosomal RNA". From Rfam's summary of the family: U2 is a small nuclear RNA (snRNA) component of the spliceosome (involved in pre-mRNA splicing). Complementary binding between U2 snRNA (in an area lying towards the 5' end but 3' to hairpin I) and the branchpoint sequence (BPS) of the intron results the bulging out of an unpaired adenosine, on the BPS, which initiates a nucleophilic attack at the intronic 5' splice site, thus starting the first of two transesterification reactions that mediate splicing. The record is from RNAcentral. Lineage: Eukaryota; Metazoa; Chordata; Mammalia; Cingulata; Dasypodidae.
AUCGCUUCUCGGCCUUUUGGCUAAGAUCAAGUGUAGUAUCUGUUCUUAUCAGUUUAAUAUCUGAUACGUCCUCUAUCUGAGGACAAUAUAUUAAAUGGAUUUUUGGAGCUGGGAGAUGGAAUAGGGGCUUGCUCCGUUCACUCCACGCAUCGACCUGGUAAUGCAGUACCUCCAGGAAUGGUGCACCCCCU